Puntigrus tetrazona (Sumatra barb) is the source of this 714-nucleotide long non-coding RNA. RefSeq lists it as uncharacterized. Lineage: Eukaryota; Metazoa; Chordata; Actinopteri; Cypriniformes; Cyprinidae. The record is from RefSeq and is a predicted model, not a curated record. The transcript has 3 exons.
UGUUAGUGCUCUCACACAAAAUAUGACAGUUACAAGUCCGAUGUUGAAUGGAUUGAUGUUUCCUGACAGGAAUUCUAACGGAAUGAUGGCGUUUUUGAAAUGGCUGACAGAGGGCCAGAGAGAGAUGGGGGAGGGUAGAGGUGGAAAGAGAAACGGUGAGAAAGAAAGAGAGAAAUGGAGUGACAGUCAGUGACGAAAAGGCCACUUCCUUCCACAAAAUCAGCAUCAGCGGAAGACUCAAACCAGCUGCUGCCAAAUUAACUGAUGAAGAUAAAGGGCACACCAAGUCUCACUGACCUGGCAAUUCAAAUAAAUACUUGCAUUUUCACAUGUUCUCUUUGACAACAAUGGCUAACACUAGACAAUUUUUAUCAAAAUUAACUAGCCUAAAAUGUUAAUUUCAGAACUGAGUGUUUUUUUUGUUUUGGUUUGUUUUGUUUUUAAUGAUGUUGUAAAUAUCAUCAUCAAAACUUGACUCACAUCGACUUGAAUGUGAUUAUUAGCAUGAGUAUAAUUUUUAACACUGUUUUAAUUAAUUAAGCUGAAUCUUGCUAGUUGUUAAAGCAUCACACAGAAUGUUGUCAUGGUAAAAGAACUGUCGUGCUCACGCACACACAUACAAUAGUACGGUCCUCAGUGAUAUUUCAUCUUGUCAUUGUGGACAAGGGCAGGCCCAUGUGUUGAAAUGUCCGCUGUAUUAUUUUCAGGCAGUGA